CGAGCUGUUGACAGCAGGCUAGAGUGUGUCUGCGGGAGUCUGACUGAAAGCUUUUAUAGGAAGGAGUAGACGAGCUGUGAGCUGGGUGUUUAUCUCUGUGUUGUUUCGCAAUGAAGGGAAGCCUGUCAUUUAGGUAGACGUUUCAUCUCUGUCUAGCUAGCUUCAGGAAAAACAAAAAAAAGAGUAGUUGAACCGCGCUCAUCAUUCACCAGAUAGAGAACGAGCUGCAGCCUGGAGCUGGAACCGGAGGGGUUUGUGUCUGCCUUGCUCAAUGUGCUCAAGGCAACGUCUGACUUGGGCCUUGUGACAGGAGGUUGAACAAAGGUGGAUGCUGCUGCUCCCAGGAGUGGCAGGUUAUCAAACAGAACUCCAGGGCCAGGUGUGGGACACCUUUCUACCAGCUGUCGGCGUGGCAACCUGAAGACACUUGAAAACAAUACUGCCUAUUGCCAUCAACCUUGGAUCACAAAAGAAUGGACAUUAAGACCCAAUUCCCGAAGAUACCACACAAUCCGAAUACAGAAGACAAUCAAACUGAAACUGAGCUGGAAGUUUCCUCCCUGGGAGCCAGAGUUCCUACUACCAGAAGGUGCCGUGAGGCUGGAUGAGGAGAAAAGCCAUCGGAUUUCACUCAGCAGCUGACCCCAUGCGCUGCAAUACUGACCGGUCAGGCCAGAUGUGCCCCGUGGCACACUAAGAGCAUGUCUACUCUGGGCUGAAACCAACGCCUUCCUGAUUAGAUCUGAGGCUUCCUUCCCAGGAGGGAAGGCAUACCUCCUUCUGUAGGCAGAGUUGGCCAAAGGCCUAUAGCUAGGGAGAUCACAGACAGGCCCUAUGGGGGAAUCUACUACCAAUGUUUUCAUGAGCAAACAUGUAGUUAAAAUAACUUCUGAAUAUUUAUGAUUGUACACAUAGACUGGUGCAGCGCUCAGCCUUGGCCAGAAAAGCCUCUUUUGACAGUGGGACACACACACACACACACACACACA
Molecule: non-coding RNA, 989 nt
Organism: Peromyscus maniculatus bairdii (prairie deer mouse)
Lineage: Eukaryota; Metazoa; Chordata; Mammalia; Rodentia; Cricetidae
Source: RefSeq, a predicted model, not a curated record